RNAcentral lists this long non-coding RNA (1579 nucleotides) under Homo sapiens (human). Its description in RNAcentral is "HSALNT0105944". Lineage: Eukaryota; Metazoa; Chordata; Mammalia; Primates; Hominidae. The record is from RNAcentral.
UCGACUUCUCACUCUUGGCCAUUCCACCUUGUACAAUUCCAGGGGGCACCAUGCUUGAUGUAGUCCAGGCUGACAAUGCUCCUGGGAUGUGCUGCCUGUGAGAUGGGUCUACCCUUCCCAGGUUACAGAAGAGCAAACUGAGCUUCAGAGAGGAUGGGUGAAUUGGCCAAGGAUGCACAGCUAAUUAAAGCCCUAUGAAGAAGGCAUAACAAGACUUUACCACAGAGGCUACGAAUAAUACCUUUGAUCCACUGAGCACCUACUCUGUGCCAGCCCCUGGGCAGGAACUGGCAUGCAUGGGCAUGUAUGAUUGCACCAGAAAUAAGUUCUAUCAUUGGCCCUGUUUACUCAUGAACACAUGAAGCUUGCUAUGAAAGUUUAAGACACCCAAGGCCACAAGGCAGUCCCGUGGCCAUGCCAAACCAGCCUGCAGCAGAGCAGGAAUGCCAACCCCAGGUCUGUGCUUGAGCUCCUGUACCUCUGUCUCUGUGGCAGCACGAACAGGUGUCCCAUAACCAGGACAGAUCACCUGGAUGCCUGCCUGCCCUGAUAACUGAUGUUGAAGGCCUCAGGGUGGAAAAUGAAAGAUGCUUAAGGUCACUGCCCCUCCUGUUCUGUACACAAGCCUAAGCUCGGGAGGAAAUAAUUUGAGGUAUCUGGAAGAAGCAGAGAGAGCAGGGCAGCUCUGAAGUCACUGCGAGGCUGUGAGAGGUCAGCCAGCGCUUCAAAGGACCCCAGGACCUUUGCAUAACCCUGGACUGAAUGGGAAGGGAAAGUCCCAGUCAUGACAGAAACGGAAUUUCCCACCAACUCAGUAGGAGGUUUGGGGUUCAGGGUCAGUUUCAUGGCAGUGCAAACAAAAUAAAGAAAAUGUGAUAUUUAUUGCUUACUUAAAUUUGUGGACCAAACUGCCUACCAUGCUAUCCACACUGUUUCCUGCAGGUGGUCAAUGUGGGCUUAAGGGAAAAGUAACUCAUCUUAAUAUUUGCUUAAAUCAAAUGGAAUAUAGAAAGUAAAUAAAUCUGCUGCCAAGCCAUCAAGUAGGGCAUUCUAAACCCAAAAUAAAGAGCCUAUGGACUGUCUGUGGAUUUAGAUUAUGCAUAGUUUUCUGCCACCACUCCCUGUAUUCAAAUCAAUAGUCACAUUUCAUUGCAGACACUUGGAGCUGUCUGGGUUCAAAUCCCAGCUCUGUUGCUUAUUAGCUGAGACACUUCAGCCAAGGUACUGACACUCUCUGUGCCUCAAUUUCCCCAGCCAUUAAGUAGGAGUCAUAAUUGCAUAACCCCCACAGGGUGGAUGUGACAAUUCAACCGGAUCACAAAAGUGCAUGCUCAGCCUAGUGCCUGGCACACUGUAAGGAUCAAUAAACAGGAGCUAUUAUUAUUAUGCUAAUUUGAAGGAUUCUUGUUUUUAAACGUCCUCAUUUCACAUUGCAGAUACCCAAAUAGAAACACAGAUUUUCAUUUGCUUACAAACCUUCCACUUUUCUCCAGCUAGAAGUUACAGGUGGCCCCUAUGGGUGAAUGUGUUAGGUAACACUCACACUUUAAGCAAGGGGAAAUGCAGGCCCAGAGAGAGU